This 3581-nucleotide long non-coding RNA is filed under the name Mus musculus (house mouse). RNAcentral's name for it is "long non-coding RNA chr10:111245941-111249522". Lineage: Eukaryota; Metazoa; Chordata; Mammalia; Rodentia; Muridae. The record is from RNAcentral.
AGGAGACCCAAGAAAGAUGGUACCCUGGUAGGGGACUUUUUGGUGAAAGGAGCUAUUUGACUUGGUGAUCUUUUAUAUCCUAAACAGUGCUGAUUUACUGUUACCUUUUUUUUGUACAGUAUAUAUGCUGUACAGUGUAUGUUGUACAGUCUUUUCUAAGUGUGCUGGACAGAAGUAAGCUCUAGAAGAAAUUAUUUACAUGAGAAUUGUCUCAGUUCUGCCAGACAGAGAAGAGCGGCUUGGGGAGAGAGUCCCAUAGCAUCUGGUUGGAGAUGAUACAGACGCUUGGGGGGAGAACUCCUCUGAACACUGCAUCCUUUGUGCAUCAAAUUUGACUCUGUAUUAGAACCACAAGUGACAAGAGGUGCGCUUGAUGACUCUUUAAAAGCAUGCAAAAGUAAAUAAAACAUGAAAGAAAAGUAGGAUUUUGAAACCUAUAGUAUCUUAAAUAUUGUUAAUAUAUUCUAAUGUGCAUAAUUGAGAGUUUGGCAGGGUUAAGAUUUCUAAAUGGGGCUGGGUGGUGGUGGUGGCAGCAGCAGCGCACGCCUUUAAUCGCAGCACUUGGGAGGCAGAGGCAGGCGGAUUUCUGAGUUCAAGGACAGCCAGGCCUACACAGAAAAACCCUGUCUCAAAAAACAAACAAACAAGCAAACAAACAAAAAGAUUUCUAAGUGGGACACCAUUCUCUUUGAGAUAUUAAAGACAUUGCUUGUGUGUCUCACUUGAAUAUUUUAAAUUAUUACUUCAUCCAUUUGACACGCAAUCCAGUGUAAUUUGCUGCUGUGAAUUGUAUACAAAAGGACUUUUUGAUAUAAAGACUGACGUGUGACAUGGCUUUUGUGCCUCUUUGCACCUAUAUUUGUGCAUCUUAGGUUCACUGUCAAAUUUGUGUUGCAGUUGUAUUCCCAUCCUUGUUUAUGGUCAUUAAAAACAAAAGCAAAAGCAACUUCUUUCCUCUGAUGUUCCUUGAACUUUAGGAGAGAACUCAGUAUUCUAAUGUUUUUACCCGGAACCUUUGUAGACUUCACACAAUAAUCUUAUAAUAUAGAUGCUACUCUUAGUAUUUUAUAGAUAAGGAAAUGGAGACCCUAUUAAGUUUAAACCCUACUUAACUGUAAGAGGAUAAUGCCUUUUGUGAUACCUUCUUUAUUCCUUUAAAGGCAAGCACUAACUGUAUGAAUUAAUUAUAAUUUUCUGAUUGUCUAUGGUUAUUAAUUUCCAUUUUAUGGUAUGGGGAAGAGUGAAACAAGGCAAAAACAGAGGCCCUCAGAUGACAGCACCACAGCUCCAUAAACUUAAUUUAACAAUGAUUUUUGAAAUGCCUUUGCCCAAGGUGGGCAGGGAUAGCAUUAUACAGGAAGUUUGGUUGUUUUAUAUGUAGCCCUGGAACUCACUAUGUAGACCCCCUGCUUUUGCCCCUUGAGUGCUGGGAUUAAAGGCAUGUACCACCCACAUUAUUGGAAACUGAGUUUUUAAAUGCUUUUCCCCCCUUAAGAAGAAAUACUCUUAAGGUUAUAUGGACUGAUGUUUUAUAUGAACCAAACUCAGAUUUAAAGUGUGUGCAUGGUAAGAAAGAAACUGAAUCUUAGGGCAAAGUUCUUAUAAGAAUAAACCACUAAGUUUAACUUGAAUGGAGUAAGAUAGGGUAAGGCAAAAGUAAUUUAAUAAAAUGAGUUCUUGGGAAUUUUAAAAGUUAGGCAUAAAGAGAUGGUAUAGGUUAUUACUUUUGAGAUAACAAAUGAUUUGUUUUUGUAUGGACAGAAGUCAUUGGUAGAUUAUGUAUUUUGAACAAACACAGGGGAGAGGAAGUGAAGCAGCUAAUGCUCCAAGGGUGUGCGGCGUCUUUAUGCUGUCGUUUAAUCUUCUGUGUUGAUUGGCUCACAUUCACGGUGCCCUAAGACUCCUGUAUUCCUCUUAGAAGUAAAACUUACAUGUUAAUUCUCUGCUUUAGCAGCUCUGAUCCACCAAAAUUGUACUUGAAAGAAUAUCUUUCCUUGUGAAAUUUUAAUCAUGGCCAAGACAAGCAGCAGAUUAGAUAUAAAUCUAGAAGCUUCAGUAAAGAUAAACAGUAUAAUGUUGGGAUCUGUUUUUGAAGUAACCAAAAGCUGGAAAGAGAAGAGUCGGGAGAAGAGGGAGAUGUGGCCAGAUACUACAGAAAUAUAAUAGAUGUAAUGACAGGCUUGUCGUCUUGAGAGAAGAAAGAACCCUAUUACUUCAUCGAAAAUGGCUAAGUAUUGAUCUUGCUUUGUUUUUCUAGAGCAGUGAGCAGCUCAGUGCAGGGCAUCGUUUCUUUGAUACAAUCGUAAAGCAUUAGUGGAAUAGCCCUUUAAUCAACUCGUUUUUAAAAAGGAACCAGUUGUCUGGCUCAGUGCCUUUGCCGUCAGUCUCUCUAUCUGUUUAUUGCUGAUUUGACAGUCUCUGGUCCUCCUUUGCUGUUAAAUGUGUGUGUCCUUUGUUUGUGCUGGUUUGCUACAUUUGGAUGUGAGAGAAAAGCCUGUCUUUGCCAUAUUGGGCUAAUUAGCCUUCUGGGUGAGCAUCUAUAUUAAAUAGACCUUCUAAACCAUGAAAGAAGAGAGUUCACAGCAUCGUAGAUUUUCUUCAUGUACUGGGGUUUCGUCUGUUUUAUUCCCUCCACGAAUUGAUGGCCGAAAGCUCGUCCGGAAUGCUUCGUUUGGAGGAUACAAUGAACUUUCUCCUUCCUUACAAGGUUGGUUUGUUUCAUCUUGUGUUCUUGCCUUAAUUUCUUACAUUUUCUUAAUGAAAAUAAUACGGGGAUUUUUAAAAUCUUAACAUCAUGUUUCAUUUAAACAAGUGUGUUGUGAAAGCUUAGCUUUCAGUAGCUGCCUAUCUGUAGCCGGGCUCUCCCUCAUCUUCUUGUACUAGUCUCUUCAGCUGAAACUUGAGAGCUCCGAGUCAGUAAAAUAUGAAUCUUGAUUUUUUUAUCAUGUGCAUUUUGAUUUAAUGUAGUAGUAAAUAUAUGACCCUGAUGACAGUUAAAACAUUUCCGAAUUUGAUAUAUAAUACAUAUAUAUUCCUGUAAAGAAAUGGUAUUGACAGAGGUAUUAGCAGAUGAAAGCCAGACAUUUAACAUGAUUAGCCAUUUCUGUAAAGGAGUCAUUAUAAUUAAUGUUUAUCAUAUGUGCUUUUCUUACAACCUUUUAAUUCUUGACGACAGUAAAGUUUUCUAGGUAUAUAUUUUUUGCUAGACUUAUUCAUGUGGAGUUAAUUUUUGCUAAGAAAAUUAUAUGUUAUAUACAGUAUAAUAUUUAUUAAAUGAAAUUAGAUACUUUAAAGCUAUCAUUUAGGCAUUAAAUGGUCAAUAAGAUGUAGAAAACUUGAGCUUAUAUUUGAAAACUAUUGUGACAAAUAUUUGGUUAUUCAUUUUAAUAUUAACUAAAAUAAAUAAAUAUAUAUAUUGACAUUUACAUUUUUUGAAUUUGAAGUAGAGUUUUAGUUUUACCCCUAACCUUUUUGGGUCUUUGUGAAUAACUAUAAUGACAAUAAAGCAUUGUUUUGAGAUACCUAAACAUUAAAUAAAUUAUAAAUUCACUAAUUUCAGAUUCUUUUCUAACAAUGUUUUC